This 477-nucleotide ribosomal RNA is filed under the name Metschnikowia sp. SUB 04-307.1. Its description in RNAcentral is "LSU rRNA". It matches the Rfam family "Eukaryotic large subunit ribosomal RNA", at positions 22 to 667 of the family's 3401-position model. The record is from RNAcentral. Lineage: Eukaryota; Fungi; Ascomycota; Pichiomycetes; Serinales; Metschnikowiaceae.
UACCCGCUGAACUUAAGCAUAUCAAUAAGCGGAGGAAAAGAAACCAACCGGGAUUACCUCAGUAACGGCGAGUGAAGCGGUAAAAGCUCAAAUUUGAAAUCUUCGGAAUUGUAAUUUGUCGGCCGAGAGCAGUGAGGCUUUAAAGUCUGCUGGAACGCAGCGCCAUGGAGGGUGAUAGCCCCGUCGCCACACACAAUAAGCUCUCGCGCCUAAGAGUCGGGUUGUUUGGGAAUGCAGCUCAAAGUGGGUGGUAAAUUCCAUCUAAGGCUAAAUAUUGGCGAGAGACCGAUAGCGAACAAGUACAGUGAUGGAAAGAUGAAAAGCACUUUGAAAAGAGAGUGAAACAGUACGUGAAAUUGUUGAAAGGGAAGGGUGUGAAGUGGGGUGCAGAGAUGCGCAGUAGUGAGUCAAACCUUUGGCGGCUUGCGACUACGUGUUUUUGACCCACUUCCCACCACCCGUCUUGAAACACGGACC